GGAUGUGAGGGCGAUCUGGCUGUGACAUCUGUCACCCCAUUGAUCGCCAGGGUUGAUUCGGCUGAUCUGGCUGGCUAGGCGGGUGUCCCCCUCCUCCCUCACCGAUCCAUGUGAGUCCCUCCCGGAGCUGCUCGCUCGGUCGAAGAGGACGACCUUUCCCCCAGCCCCAGGAGAGGACCGGUCUUUGGUCAAGGGUAUACGAGUAGCUGCGCUCCCCUGCUAGAACCUCAAAAAAAGCUCUCAAACCCAUAUUUCAAGAAUAUUCAAUACAACCUCACAAAAUGAAUUUAGUAUUAAAAUGAAGUAUUAACCUCACUAAUCCAGAUCCAUUU
RNAcentral lists this small nuclear RNA (332 nucleotides) under Myotis davidii. RNAcentral describes it as "7SK RNA". It matches the Rfam family "7SK RNA". From Rfam's summary of the family: 7SK was discovered as an abundant small nuclear RNA in the mid-70s but a possible function has only recently been suggested. Two independent studies have found that 7SK RNA binds the CDK9/cyclin T complex (known as elongation factor P-TEFb). The record is from Rfam by way of RNAcentral. Lineage: Eukaryota; Metazoa; Chordata; Mammalia; Chiroptera; Vespertilionidae.